Molecule: ribosomal RNA, 2368 nt
Filed under: Salmonella enterica
Lineage: Bacteria; Pseudomonadati; Pseudomonadota; Gammaproteobacteria; Enterobacterales; Enterobacteriaceae
Description: partial 23S ribosomal RNA
Rfam family: Bacterial large subunit ribosomal RNA
Source: RNAcentral
GAGGGAAACCGAGUCUUAAUUGGGCGUUAAGUUGCAGGGUAUAGACCCGAAACCCGGUGAUCUAGCCAUGGGCAGGUUGAAGGUUGGGUAACACUAACUGGAGGACCGAACCGACUAAUGUUGAAAAAUUAGCGGAUGACCUGUGGCUGGGGGUGAAAGGCCAAUCAAACCGGGAGAUAGCUGGUUCUCCCCGAAAGCUAUUUAGGUAGCGCCUCGUGAAUUCAUCUCCGGGGGUAGAGCACUGUUUCGGCUAGGGGGCCAUCCCGGCUUACCAACCCGAUGCAAACUGCGAAUACCGGAGAAUGUUAUCACGGGAGACACACGGCGGGUGCUAACGUCCGUCGUGAAGAGGGAAACAACCCAGACCGCCAGCUAAGGUCCCAAAGUCAUGGUUAAGUGGGAAACGAUGUGGGAAGGCCCAGACAGCCAGGAUGUUGGCUUAGAAGCAGCCAUCAUUUAAAGAAAGCGUAAUAGCUCACUGGUCGAGUCGGCCUGCGCGGAAGAUGUAACGGGGCUAAACCAUGCACCGAAGCUGCGGCAGCGAACGUAUCACCCAAGACAACUUUACGGAGUUGACGAUUGACGGAGCGAAGCGACGUCAAAGCGUUCAUUAAAGUCGAGUUGGCUUAGGGAUACGUUCGUUGGGUAGGGGAGCGUUCUGUAAGCCUGUGAAGGUGUGUCGUGAGGCAUGCUGGAGGUAUCAGAAGUGCGAAUGCUGACAUAAGUAACGAUAAAGCGGGUGAAAAGCCCGCUCGCCGGAAGACCAAGGGUUCCUGUCCAACGUUAAUCGGGGCAGGGUGAGUCGACCCCUAAGGCGAGGCCGAAAGGCGUAGUCGAUGGGAAACGGGUUAAUAUUCCCGUACUUGGUGUUACUGCGAAGGGGGGACGGAGAAGGCUAUGUUGGCCGGGCGACGGUUGUCCCGGUUUAAGCGUGUAGGUGUGUGUUCCAGGUAAAUCCGGUUCACUUUAACACUGAGGCGUGACGACGAGGCACUACGGUGCUGAAGCAACAAAUGCCCUGCUUCCAGGAAAAGCCUCUAAGCAUCAGGUAACACGAAAUCGUACCCCAAACCGACACAGGUGGUCAGGUAGAGAAUACCAAGGCGCUUGAGAGAACUCGGGUGAAGGAACUAGGCAAAAUGGUGCCGUAACUUCGGGAGAAGGCACGCUGACACGUAGGUGAAGUGAUUUACUCAUGGAGCUGAAGUCAGUCGAAGAUACCAGCUGGCUGCAACUGUUUAUUAAAAACACAGCACUGUGCAAACACGAAAGUGGACGUAUACGGUGUGACGCCUGCCCGGUGCCGGAAGGUUAAUUGAUGGGGUCAGCGUAAGCGAAGCUCCUGAUCGAAGCCCCGGUAAACGGCGGCCGUAACUAUAACGGUCCUAAGGUAGCGAAAUUCCUUGUCGGGUAAGUUCCGACCUGCACGAAUGGCGUAAUGAUGGCCAGGCUGUCUCCACCCGAGACUCAGUGAAAUUGAACUCGCUGUGAAGAUGCAGUGUACCCGCGGCAAGACGGAAAGACCCCGUGAACCUUUACUAUAGCUUGACACUGAACAUUGAGCCUUGAUGUGUAGGAUAGGUGGGAGGCUUUGAAGUGUGGACGCCAGUCUGCAUGGAGCCGACCUUGAAAUACCACCCUUUAAUGUUUGAUGUUCUAACGUGGACCCGUAAUCCGGGUUGCGGACAGUGUCUGGUGGGUAGUUUGACUGGGGCGGUCUCCUCCUAAAGAGUAACGGAGGAGCACGAAGGUUGGCUAAUCCUGGUCGGACAUCAGGAGGUUAGUGCAAUGGCAUAAGCCAGCUUGACUGCGAGCGUGACGGCGCGAGCAGGUGCGAAAGCAGGUCAUAGUGAUCCGGUGGUUCUGAAUGGAAGGGCCAUCGCUCAACGGAUAAAAGGUACUCCGGGGAUAACAGGCUGAUACCGCCCAAGAGUUCAUAUCGACGGCGGUGUUUGGCACCUCGAUGUCGGCUCAUCACAUCCUGGGGCUGAAGUAGGUCCCAAGGGUAUGGCUGUUCGCCAUUUAAAGUGGUACGCGAGCUGGGUUUAGAACGUCGUGAGACAGUUCGGUCCCUAUCUGCCGUGGGCGCUGGAGAACUGAGGGGGGCUGCUCCUAGUACGAGAGGACCGGAGUGGACGCAUCACUGGUGUUCGGGUUGUCAUGCCAAUGGCACUGCCCGGUAGCUAAAUGCGGAAGAGAUAAGUGCUGAAAGCAUCUAAGCACGAAACUUGCCCCGAGAUGAGUUCUCCCUGAGACUUAGAGUCUCCUGAAGGAACGUUGAAGACGACGACGUUGAUAGGCCGGGUGUGUAAGCGCAGCGAUGCGUUGAGCUAACCGGUACUAAUGAACCGUGAGGCUUAACCUUACA